RNAcentral lists this long non-coding RNA (5250 nucleotides) under Theobroma cacao (cacao). RNAcentral's name for it is "long non-coding RNA (TCAC_LNC001223)". Lineage: Eukaryota; Viridiplantae; Streptophyta; Magnoliopsida; Malvales; Malvaceae. The record is from RNAcentral.
AACACUUAAAACCCAAUACUAGUUUACUACUCACCUUGAUAGCUUUGUAACUUUGAACUUCUUUCCAAAAGCUCUCAAGCUAUUAAUAAAGCUUCCUCUUUCUCUCUUUAAAACACCUAACUAGUGAGAGAUUAUGGAAACAAGAUUUUCAUCAUUUUCAAGGGUUUUAAAGUGAGAGAGUGGAAGAAUACAAGGGUUCUAGUCAAAAGGGCACCAAGGUAUGAAAAUUAGAACUAGAGAGAGAAAGUUAUGAAAGCUUCACAUCAAGCUUCCAUGGAGGAAUUGAAGAAACGUGAGAGGGAAGAGAACAAGAAGAAGAAGCUGUUAGAAAUCCCAAGAAGUUGCUAAAAGGAGAGGAUAUUUAUGGCCGAAGCUUAUCCACUCCCUUGGAAAUUACUAAAAUGCAUCUUCAUAAAUUAGCUUAAUCCUUGAAAUCCCACACUUUUUCUUCAAUUUUCCCACCUAGGGUUUGUGUUCUUUCCUUUCCUCUUCACUUCAUGCUUUGGCCAGCCAUAUGGGUGAGACUAAGAGAGUUUUAAAUAGAUUUUACAGGGAAAUUCUAGAAUAAUCCAAUCUUGACACAUGGCUUGUUUCCAUUGGUCCAUGCGUAAUACUUAUCCAUUAAGCAAUCUCUCUCCACCACAUAAAAUGUUUCAAUUAUCCACAAUGUAAAAUGUUAAUGGCUGAAAUCCAUGGGCAUGACAAGUGUCAGGUGGUGUAAAAUUCCAAAAAUUUCCAUUUUGUCCUCGAGUGAUAAAAUUACCAUUUUGCCCCUAGAACAUGAAAAUCAUCAAAAUUUUUAUUUCCUUGUCAUUUCACCCAUAUUUUCAUCAUUCAUUUAUGCUUUAGGCCUACUUAAGCUAUAAUAUUGUUUAAAACUUACUUUUAUGGGCUUAUUGAGAAAAUGACAAAAUUACCCCUGAUUAGGGAUAUCGCGUAUAUUUCUAUCUAUGAGUCUAUAAAGGUCAAGGUCUCACAUUGUCCCCCACUUAAAGAAUUUAGGUCCCCGAAUUUAAAUUCAACUAUGAGGUGACUUACCUCUAUGCAACAAGAAGGUGGGGAUACUUUGUCCGCAUAUCCUCAUCGGCCUCCCAUGUUACCUCUUCACUCCAUCUGUGCCUUUGGUAAACAUUUUUCCUUUUCUUCCCUAAGGACCCUCUAAGGCCUUAGCUACAAACUCAUCUUUACUUUGUGUUUCUUUAAUCCUGUCCAUUAAAAUAUGCCUCACUCUAAAAUAUGCUAGCAAUGCAUUUGUCUCAGCAACUUCCCAAUGCACACCUAUGUCUCCCAAGCUAUGGAUCUCCCUAACCAAGGAUCUCCUAUCUGUAGCAAUAUGUGCCAGACUCCCCAUGGUGAGAUGCUAGGUCAGAUAAAGCCUUUAUCGAGCAAAUCUUCUAAUUGAUCCUUAAGCUCUUUAAGCUCUGCAAGUGCCAUUCUAUAUGGGGGUAUGGAUAUAGGUCUAGUGUCGGGAAUCAAAUCUAUGCAAAAUUCAAUCUCCCGCUUGGGAGGUAAACUUGGCAAUUCCUCGGGAAAUACAUCCAUGAACUCAUUCACCACCGACACUUGACUUACAUUUCCAACCUUCGCCUGAGUAUCCCUUACCACUGCCAAGUAACCUAUACAACCCUGUUGUAAUAACCUUCGGGUAGACAGGACCGAUAUCAAAUUGGUUCGAACAUUACUUUUAUCCCCUUGAAUACUAAAUGAUGGUUCAUCAGGGAAAUCAAAUCUAACCAAUUUAUAAUAACAGUCCACACUAGCAUUGUAGGGUGAUAACCAAUCCAUCCCCAAGAUCACAUCAAAGUCUAAAGUGUCUAACACCACUAGAUUCAUCAAAGUAUCUUUGUCUUGCUGCAAUACUAGCACUAGGCGAGUCACUCCCCUGCUGGGGUAAUCGUGAGUCCCUCUGUGGACCCUGACGGCUAGAAGAUGAACCACCACUGCUGAAAUCUCUACGGCCUUGAUAACCUUCUGUUUUGGCCCUUUUUGCUCUAUCCCUCGUAACUCUGCGCUCACUGGUCCUCAUUUUAAUCUGCUGAGCACAAUCUACCGUUGCAGAGUAGGUUUUAAAAUCUCGGGAUGCCAUAGCCCUAAAUAGUGGCUCUACUAGCCCAUCUACAAACCUCUGAAUCUUCAUCUCCUCAGUGGAAACUAGGUAAGGAGCAUACCGAGACAACUACGUGAACUUGAUGUCGUACUCUAACACCGUCAUACUCGAGGUCUAUACCAAAGUCUCAAACUCCCUAGCUUGUGCAUUACACUGAGUGGUAAGAAUCGAUCUAAAAAGGUUGCACUAAACUCACCCCAAGUCAAUGGUGCUGCAUCCGUCAGUCUGCCUCUACAUAGAGAACUAUACCACUCUUGCGCCACAUCCUCUAAUCGGAAGGCGGCUAGCUCGACUGAUCGAACACUAGAGCAUCUCAAAGCCUUACAUAUUUUCUCCAUCUUAUCUAAAAAGAUAUGGGGCUUCUCCGAUGCAUCGGACCCUGAAAAUGAUGAAGGCUUAAGCUUAAGAAAAUCAGGAAGAGAAAUCUCUAAGUGACCCCUCUCAACCUCAUGAUAUUGGUGGUCGACCUGUCCUUGGGAACUAGGGGAUUCUUGCACUGUAGGUCUCCCUUCUACUACCCUUUGUAUAUCCUCCAUACAGGUCACCAUCAUCUCUAUAACCCGAUUAACUCCCUGUAGGCCUGUCGCCAAAUCCUCAAUGGUAAUACCCCCAGCUGGGUGUCUAUCUACAUCACUUGAGGACUAUUCCUCCUCUCGCCUACUCAUAAGCGUAUCCACCCUCACCGGCCUAGUGGCCCUACCACGUCUACCUCGACCCCUUAGGGUGGAUGCUUGUGGCCUAUUUGCCAUCUCAGUAGGAGCAUCUUGCUCCCCCAUCCGUCUUGAGGUGGCUCGUGUCUUAGGCAGUAUUCUUACCAAAACAAGAGCAAACACCUGUUAUUAAACACAUUUUAUAAUCAUACUCAAGGCAAAAGGUGGUUUCUAAGAUAGAAAAUCUAUGCGGUCCCUUGGUCGUAAAAUGUGUCGCUGUUCACAGUUUACAACCAAAGUUCCCACAUAAAAACCCGACACUCCGCUGGACCAACAAAUGGAAAUCCUAUGACCUAGAAAAACCUAGCGCUCUGAUACCAACUUUGUCACGACCCAAAUUUCGGGCCAUGACCGGUGCAUGGGCCCAAUGGAUGUAGUCCACUAAGCCCAAUCAAGCCUAUUAAUCCGACAUGUUCAUCAUUCCAUCAUAAACUGCUAAGUCAUAUACCAUAACUUGGAAUCAAAAUAAUAUUAAGCAUUGCCAUUUCAUACUAGCAUACAAAACAGGUGUAUAUACACUGUCUACACAUGUAUCUUAAUAAUUCACAUUAGGUUCAUCUAUACACAACAAAAGGAGACUCGAUGUCUAGUUGAGAGACUCGGAAGAAUGUACAACUACUAAAUAUCGAGACACCUGCCAAAAGAUGGAUACAAGUCCACAAGGACACCUCGUUUUAGUUAUCGGCUAUCUCUUAAUCUGAAAACAUAAAGUUGAAAGCGAUGAGCAUAAACUCAAUGAGUGAACAAGAAGGGAACAAGCAUACCAUAAGGAAUGUUUAUCGAAAUCAUGAUGCACUUAUUUUCUCAAAACAAUGCAAUUUGUUCUAGUUUUUAGUAGAACCCCUCAUGUAAACCCCUCAUGAGUAAAUCACUUAAAAAAUCCAUACUUAACUAUGGUACCAAAGAAUUGAAAAAUAUAGCAAAACCCACAAGUUAGCCAAAAUGGACAGAAAGUUUCUCGCUGCAGCGAACUUCAUUCUCGUUGUAACGAGAACCAAGUCUGGUGAAGGCCCUCAAACCCGAGAGUUUCUCGCUACAGCGAGAGUCAAAACAUCAAGAAAAAAGUCUCAUUUUCCUUUAAAACAAACCAUCCUGCUAAAAUAACAAUAGCAACAUGUAACACAUGUAAACUCCUAAAUUUCAACAAAUCAAAUGCUCACAUAUUUGUAUUUACAACCAUAUACCAUAUUGUAUAUAUAUAUAUAUCCAUCAUCAUAUACACCCUCCCAUCAUCAUCAUCUCAUAUGCAACAGCUUAUGCGUACUCCCACUCGCAUAUAGCCGGGUCAACAAUGGCUUAUGUGCACUCCUACUCGCACAUAGUCAGGUCAGCAACGGCUUAUGUGCACUCCUACUAGCACAUAGCUGGGUUAGCAAUGGCUUAUGUGCAUUCCCACUCGCACAUAGCCGGGUCAGCAACGGCUUAUGUGCACUCCCACUGGCACAUAGUCGGGUCAGCAACGACUUAUGUGCACUCCUACUCGCACAUAGCCAGGUCCACAUCAACAUGCAAAGAAGCAUCCAAUGUGUAUCAUGCAUUUUAUCAUAUUGUGAUAACACAUAAACCAUUGUAUAGCACAUUUUCACAAUAUAAAAUCAUUUUACUAAAAGCUUGUUCCCAAGGUAUAUUUUCUAAGACAAGUUGGAUAGAAUCUUUCAUAUUCCCUAAAACAAGUUUGAAAUGCAAGUCCAUUCACCAGUAUUCGUUGAGCCUUUAGCCGACUUUUAAUCCCCCUAAUGAUCUAAUUGGGGUGAUGGGGCUUUGUUAGCACCUACCAUCAAAUUAACAUUUCCAUAAUGUCAAUUUACAUACUAUAAACCCUAAAAGCUAUCUUUUAGCUAGUUGUCAAUUACCAUUUAAAUGGCCAUCCAUUUUCACUUUCUUAUCACUCCAAAGUCAAUUAACAAUCUCAACUUCAAAAUAUUCACAAAUCAAAUCUCUAGUCAUUCUCAAUACUUAAAACCCAAUACUAGUUUACUACUCACCUUGAUAGCUUUGUAACUUUGAACUUCUUUCCAAAAGCUCUCAAGCUAUUAAUAAAGCUUCCUCUUUCUCUCUUUAAAACACCUAACUAGUGAGAGAUUAUGGAAACAAGAAUUUCAUCAUUUUCAAGGGUUUUAAAGUGAGAGAGUGGAAGAAUACAAGGGUUCUAGUCAAAAGGGCACCAAGGUAUGAAAAUUAGAACUAGAGAGAGAAAGUUAUGAAAGCUUCACAUCAAGCUUCCAUGGAGGAAUUGAAGAAACGUGAGAGGGAAGAGAACAAGAAGAAGAAGCUGUUAGAAAUCCCAAAAAGUUGCUAGAAGGAGAGGAUAUUUAUGGCCGAAGCUUAUCCACUCCCUUGGAAAUUACUAAAAUGCCCCUCCACAAAUUAACUUAAUCCUUGAAAUCCCACACUUUUUCUUCAAUUUUCCCACCUAGGGUUCGUGUUCUUUCC